RNAcentral lists this ribosomal RNA (509 nucleotides) under uncultured bacterium. Its description in RNAcentral is "bacterial SSU rRNA". The stretch from base 67 to 509 matches the Rfam family "Bacterial small subunit ribosomal RNA", at positions 1 to 441 of the family's 1533-position model. The record is from RNAcentral.
UGAUCAGCCGGUACUCGCGAAUGCNAUCUAGUNAUUAGAGUUGAUCCUGGCUCAGGCCUGGAUCAUCCUCCUUAAAGUUUGAUCAUGGCUCAGAUUGAACGCUGGCGGCAGGCCUAACACAUGCAAGUCGAACGGUAACAGGAAGCAGCUUGCUGCUUUGCUGACGAGUGGCGGACGGGUGAGUAAUGUCUGGGAAACUGCCUGAUGGAGGGGGAUAACUACUGGAAACGGUAGCUAAUACCGCAUAACGUCGCAAGACCAAAGAGGGGGACCUUCGGGCCUCUUGCCAUCGGAUGUGCCCAGAUGGGAUUAGCUAGUAGGUGGGGUAACGGCUCACCUAGGCGACGAUCCCUAGCUGGUCUGAGAGGAUGACCAGCCACACUGGAACUGAGACACGGUCCAGACUCCUACGGGAGGCAGCAGUGGGGAAUAUUGCACAAUGGGCGCAAGCCCGAUGCAGCCAUGCCGCGUGUAUGAAGAAGGCCUUCGGGUUGUAAAUACUUCGAGAG